RNAcentral lists this transfer RNA (73 nucleotides) under Ignavibacteria bacterium. Its description in RNAcentral is "tRNA-Met". It matches the Rfam family "tRNA". Rfam says of the family: Transfer RNA (tRNA) molecules are approximately 80 nucleotides in length. Their secondary structure includes four short double-helical elements and three loops (D, anti-codon, and T loops). Lineage: Bacteria; Pseudomonadati; Ignavibacteriota; Ignavibacteria. The record is from RNAcentral.
CGCGGGAUGGAGCAGUUGGUAGCUCGUCGGGCUCAUAACCCGAAGGUCGGAGGUUCAAGUCCUUCUCCCGCUA